Anneissia japonica is the source of this 386-nucleotide long non-coding RNA. RefSeq lists it as uncharacterized. The transcript has 3 exons. The record is from RefSeq and is a predicted model, not a curated record. NCBI's taxonomy places the organism in Eukaryota, Metazoa, Echinodermata, Crinoidea, Comatulida, Comatulidae.
AGUUUGAAAGUUUUGUUUUUGUAUCAACAGGCAGAGAGUGUAGAUGAAACCAUAAAACAGGAGGAGAAGGUAUCGGAGGAGAAACCAUCUGGAAAAUUAUCGACUGAAACACAGUUACAAGAGGAAGCAGAAGAAGGAAGUGAACACUCGUCAUUUAGUGAACAUUACAAGAAGUCAAUUCGUCUCACCAAUGAACAAUUAGCUUGUUUAAACCUUAAACCUGGACCAAAUGAAAUUACAUACUCAGUGACGACCAGGUACCAAGGAACUUGUCUAUGUAAGAGCACAAUCUACCUGUGGCAGCAUGAUAGUAGGAUUGUUAUAUCUGAUAUAGAUGGCACAAUAACUAAGUAAGUAUUUGUGAUAGCUGUAUACUUACAAAUACA